GGUUAAGCGACUAAGCGUACACGGUGGAUGCCCUGGCAGUCAGAGGCGAUGAAGGACGUGCUAAUCUGCGAAAAGCGCCGGCGAGGUGAUAUGAACCUUUGACCCGGCGAUGUCCGAAUGGGGAAACCCAGUGUGUUCCGACACACUAUCGUUAACUGAAUACAUAGGUUAACGAGGCGAACCGGGGGAACUGAAACAUCUAAGUACCCCGAGGAAAAGAAAUCAACCGAGAUUCCCCCAGUAGCGGCGAGCGAACGGGGAGCAGCCCAGAGUCUGAAUCAGCUUGUGUGUUAGUGGAAGCGUCUGGAAAGUCGCACGGUACAGGGUGACAGUCCCGUACACGAAAAUGCACAGGUUGUGAACUCGAAGAGUAGGGCGGGACACGUGGUAUCCUGUCUGAAUAUGGGGGGACCAUCCUCCAAGGCUAAAUACUCCUGACUGACCGAUAGUGAACCAGUACCGUGAGGGAAAGGCGAAAAGAACCCCGGCGAGGGGAGUGAAAUAGAACCUGAAACCGUGUACGUACAAGCAGUGGGAGCACCUUCGGGUGUGACUGCGUACCUUUUGUAUAAUGGGUCAGCGACUUAUAUUCUGUAGCAAGGUUAACCGUAUAGGGGAGCCGAAGGGAAACCGAGUCUUAACUGGGCGUUAAGUUGCAGGGUAUAGACCCGAAACCCGGUGAUCUAGCCAUGGGCAGGUUGAAGGUUGGGUAACACUAACUGGAGGACCGAACCGACUAAUGUUGAAAAAUUAGCGGAUGACUUGUGGCUGGGGGUGAAAGGCCAAUCAAACCGGGAGAUAGCUGGUUCUCCCCGAAAGCUAUUUAGGUAGCGCCUCGUGAACUCAUCUUCGGGGGUAGAGCACUGUUUCGGCUAGGGGGCCAUCCCGGCUUACCAACCCGAUGCAAACUACGAAUACCGAAGAAUGUUAUCACGGGAGACACACGGCGGGUGCUAACGUCCGUCGUGAAGAGGGAAACAACCCAGACCGCCAGCUAAGGUCCCAAAGUCAUGGUUAAGUGGGAAACGAUGUGGGAAGGCACAGACAGCCAGGAUGUUGGCUUAGAAGCAGCCAUCAUUUAAAGAAAGCGUAAUAGCUCACUGGUCGAGUCGGCCUGCGCGGAAGAUGUAACGGGGCUAAACCAUGCACCGAAGCUGCGGCAGCGACACUAUGUGUUGUUGGGUAGGGGAGCGUUCUGUAAGCCGUUGAAGGUGUGCUGUGAGGCAUGCUGGAGGUAUCAGAAGUGCGAAUGCUGACAUAAGUAACGAUAAAGCGGGUGAAAAGCCCGCUCGCCGGAAGACCAAGGGUUCCUGUCCAACGUUAAUCGGGGCAGGGUGAGUCGACCCCUAAGGCGAGGCCGAAAGGCGUAGUCGAUGGGAAACAGGUUAAUAUUCCUGUACUUGGUGUUACUGCGAAGGGGGGACGGAGAAGGCUAUGUUAGCCGGGCGACGGUUGUCCCGGUUUAAGCAUGUAGGCGGAACGAUUAGGUAAAUCCGGUCGUUUUUAACGCUGAGGUGUGAUGACGAGGCACUACGGUGCUGAAGUAACAAAUGCCCUGCUUCCAGGAAAAGCCUCUAAGCAUCAGGUAACAUCAAAUCGUACCCCAAACCGACACAGGUGGUCAGGUAGAGAAUACCAAGGCGCUUGAGAGAACUCGGGUGAAGGAACUAGGCAAAAUGGUGCCGUAACUUCGGGAGAAGGCACGCUGAUAUGUAGGUGAAGCCCCUGCGGGUGGAGCUGAAAUCAGUCGAAGAUACCAGCUGGCUGCAACUGUUUAUUAAAAACACAGCACUGUGCAAACACGAAAGUGGACGUAUACGGUGUGACGCCUGCCCGGUGCCGGAAGGUUAAUUGAUGGGGUUAGCGGCAACGCGAAGCUCUUGAUCGAAGCCCCGGUAAACGGCGGCCGUAACUAUAACGGUCCUAAGGUAGCGAAAUUCCUUGUCGGGUAAGUUCCGACCUGCACGAAUGGCGUAAUGAUGGCCAGGCUGUCUCCACCCGAGACUCAGUGAAAUUGAACUCGCUGUGAAGAUGCAGUGUACCCGCGGCAAGACGGAAAGACCCCGUGAACCUUUACUAUAGCUUGACACUGAACACUGGUCCUUGAUGUGUAGGAUAGGUGGGAGGCUUUGAAGUGUGGACGCCAGUCUGCAUGGAGCCGUCCUUGAAAUACCACCCUUUAAUGGCUGGUGUUCUAACGUAGACCCGUAAUCCGGGUUGCGGACAGUGUCUGGUGGGUAGUUUGACUGGGGCGGUCUCCUCCCAAAGAGUAACGGAGGAGCACGAAGGUUAGCUAAUCCUGGUCGGACAUCAGGAGGUUAGUGCAAUGGCAUAAGCUAGCUUGACUGCGAGAGUGACGGCUCGAGCAGGUGCGAAAGCAGGUCAUAGUGAUCCGGUGGUUCUGAAUGGAAGGGCCAUCGCUCAACGGAUAAAAGGUACUCCGGGGAUAACAGGCUGAUACCGCCCAAGAGUUCAUAUCGACGGCGGUGUUUGGCACCUCGAUGUCGGCUCAUCACAUCCUGGGGCUGAAGUAGGUCCCAAGGGUAUGGCUGUUCGCCAUUUAAAGUGGUACGCGAGCUGGGUUUAGAACGUCGUGAGACAGUUCGGUCCCUAUCUGCCGUGGGCGCUGGAGAAUUGAGGGGGGCUGCUCCUAGUACGAGAGGACCGGAGUGGACGCAUCACUGGUGUUCGGGUUGUCAUGCCAAUGGCACUGCCCGGUAGCUAAAUGCGGAAAAGAUAAGUGCUGAAAGCAUCUAAGCACGAAACUUGCCCCGAGAUGAGUUCUCCCUGAGACUUUAAGUCUCCUGAAGGAACGUUGAAGACGACGACGUUGAUAGGUCGGGUGUGUAAGCGCAGCGAUGCGUUGAGCUAACCGAUACUAAUGAACCGUGAGGCUUAACCUU
Molecule: ribosomal RNA, 2903 nt
Filed under: Enterobacter roggenkampii
Lineage: Bacteria; Pseudomonadati; Pseudomonadota; Gammaproteobacteria; Enterobacterales; Enterobacteriaceae
Description: 23S ribosomal RNA
Rfam family: Bacterial large subunit ribosomal RNA
Source: RNAcentral